ACGGGAGGCAGCAGUGGGGAAUAUUGCACAAUGGGCGAAAGCCUGAUGCAGCAACGCCGCGUGAGGGAAGACGGUUUUCGGAUUGUAAACCUCUGUUUUCGGUGACGAACAAAUGACGGUAACCGAGUAGGAAGCCACGGCUAACUACGUGCCAGCAGCCGCGGUAAUACGUAGGUGGCAAGCGUUAUCCGGAAUUACUGGGUGUAAAGGGAGCGCAGGUGGGAUAGCAAGUCAGCUGUGAAAACUAUGGGCUCAACCCAUAAACUGCAGUUGAAACUGUUAUUCUUGAGUGGAGUAGAGGCAAGCGGAAUUCCGAGUGUAGCGGUGAAAUGCGUAGAUAUUCGGAGGAACACCAGUGGCGAAGGCGGCUUGCUGGGCUCUAACUGACGCUGAGGCUCGAAAGUGUGGGGAGCAAACAGGAUUAGAUACCCUGGUA
This 436-nucleotide ribosomal RNA is filed under the name uncultured bacterium. RNAcentral describes it as "bacterial SSU rRNA". It matches the Rfam family "Bacterial small subunit ribosomal RNA", at positions 341 to 792 of the family's 1533-position model. The record is from RNAcentral.